Molecule: transfer RNA, 20 nt
Filed under: Mentocrex beankaensis
Lineage: Eukaryota; Metazoa; Chordata; Aves; Gruiformes; Rallidae
Description: Canirallus beankaensis partial tRNA-Gly
Source: RNAcentral
UCAAACCCCAGAGAGAGGCA